Long non-coding RNA from Urocitellus parryii (Arctic ground squirrel), 481 nucleotides. RefSeq lists it as uncharacterized. Lineage: Eukaryota; Metazoa; Chordata; Mammalia; Rodentia; Sciuridae. The record is from RefSeq and is a predicted model, not a curated record.
CUUCCUUAGCCUUCCAAGUCCCUGGGAUUACAGGUGGUCACUUCUCAUUUCCUUAUGAUAUGUUCCUUCUCGCUUCUCAUUCUUGACACUGUGAUCAACUUUUGCUGUUAGCAAGUAUGAUUAUCUGAAAUCAGCAGAAAAAUAAAGAGGAGCACUGAGAGAAGAGAACCAUCUGUAGAGGUAUGAAACUGACCUGGGCCUAAGAAGAUAUGUGUGGCCCGAAUAUCUGUCUCUGAGGAAAAGGGACAGCAAUCUUCAGAUAAGCAAACUUCCAAUUUGAGCUCAGGCAGAGGGACCACUGGGGACACACAGGCUGGCCAUGUCUGUUGGGGCUGUGGCUCUGCCCUGCAGAAAGUGUCAUGACAAAAGGCAGGCCUGGGACCUGAGCCAACCUGUUGCUAAAUCAAGAUUCCUGAGAUCUCAGCUGGUUACCUUCUGUGAUACUAUAAGGUGUUUUUUUUUUGUUUUGGUUUGGGGCACU